UACGGAGGAUGCAAGCGUUAUCCGGAAUUAUUGGGCGUAAAGCGUCCGCAGGUGGUUAUCCAAGUCUGCUGUUAAAGCGCGAGGCUUAACUUCGUACAGGCAGUGGAAACUGGGUGACUGGAGUAUGGUAGGGGUAGCGAGAAUUCCCAGUGUAGCGGUGAAAUGCGUAGAUAUUGGGAAGAACACCAGCGGCGAAAGCGCGCUACUGGGCCAUUACUGACACUCAUGGACGAAAGCUAGGGGAGCGAAAGGG
This 253-nucleotide ribosomal RNA is filed under the name uncultured bacterium. RNAcentral describes it as "partial 16S ribosomal RNA". It matches the Rfam family "Bacterial small subunit ribosomal RNA", at positions 524 to 776 of the family's 1533-position model. The record is from RNAcentral.